Diceros bicornis minor is the source of this 3953-nucleotide RNA transcript. It is a transcript of the gene named tubulin epsilon 1, with no coding region annotated. The transcript has 16 exons. The record is from RefSeq and is a predicted model, not a curated record. Lineage: Eukaryota; Metazoa; Chordata; Mammalia; Perissodactyla; Rhinocerotidae.
GGGGCAAUAAGAAGGCAGGCUCCGGCUCCAGAUUGCCCUGGGCUGGCAGCGCUGUAGUAUGACCCAGUCGGUGAUAGUACAGGUCGGCCAGUGCGGAAACCAGAUCGGCUGCUGCUUCUGGGACCUGGCGCUGAGGGAGCACGCCGCGGUCAACCAGAAAGGAAUUUAUGAUGAGGCACUAAGCAGCUUCUUUAGAAAUGUGGAUACCAGAGUGGUUGGUGAUGGUGGCAGUAUUUCCAAGGGGAAAAUUUGUUCUUUAAAAGCACGAGCUGUCUUGAUUGACAUGGAGGAAGGGGUAGUAAAUGAAAUUCUGCAGGGACCAUUGAGGGAUGUAUUUGAUAGCAAGCAGCUCAUCACAGAUAUUUCUGGCUCGGGGAAUAAUUGGGCCGUGGGUCACAAAGUUUUUGGCAGUCGUUAUCAAGAACAGAUUUUAGAGAAACUGAGAAAGUCAGCAGAGCACUGUGAUAGUUUGCAGUGUUUUUUUAUAAUACAUUCCAUGGGAGGAGGAACAGGAUCUGGACUUGGCACAUAUCUUUUAAAGGUGCUUGAGGAUGAAUUCCCAGAAGUAUACAGAUUUGUGACUUCAAUUUAUCCUUCGGGUGAGGAUGAUGUCAUAACCUCACCUUAUAAUAGCAUCUUGGCAAUGAAGGAACUUAAUGAGCAUGCAGACUGUGUGUUGCCCAUUGACAACCAAUCUUUAUUUGACAUCAUUAGCAAAAUUGACCUCAUGGUGAAUUCUGGAAAGUUGGGUACAACUAUAAAGCCCAAGAGUCUGGUUACUUCAAGUGCUGGGACUUUUAAAAAGCGGCAGAAGCCCUUUGAUGCAAUGAACAACAUUGUGGCAAAUUUGCUGCUCAACCUAACAAGCUCUGCAAGGUUUGAAGGAUCCCUUAAUAUGGACCUUAAUGAAAUCAGCAUGAAUUUAGUUCCUUUUCCUCAACUGCAUUAUCUUGUGUCAAGCUUAACACCUCUGUAUACACUGGCAGAUGUUAACAUUCCUCCUCGAAGGUUGGAUCAGAUGUUUUCAGAUGCCUUUAGUAAAGAUCACCAGCUAAUUCGAGCUGACCCCAAACAUAGUCUCUACCUCGCCUGUGCCCUCAUGGUUAGAGGAAAUGUACAGAUUUCAGAUCUUCGCAGAAAUAUUGAAAGAUUGAAACCUUCUCUACAGUUUGUCUCGUGGAAUCAAGAAGGCUGGAAGACCAGCCUGUGUUCAGUACCUCCUGUGGGCCAUUCUCAUUCAUUAUUAGCUUUAGCAAAUAACACAUGCGUGAAGCCUACCUUCAUGGAACUGAGAGAGAGAUUCAUGAGGCUCUACAAGAAAAAGGCUCAUCUUCAUCACUAUCUACAAAUUGAAGGGAUGGAGGAAAGCUGUUUCACAGAAGCUGAGUCAUCUUUAUCAGCACUCAUACAGGAAUAUAACCAACUGGAUGCCACAAAAAGCAUGCCUGUGGAAGAUUUACCAAGACUAAGCAUAGCUGUGUAAAAAAGAAACCCAGAAAAUACAACUUUUGCUUUUUCUUAAUUUCACAUUGCUUUUUGUCACCUUACCUUUCUGUUUCAGAGUUUUUGUGAUUCAGAAAGCCCAGUUUGUGUUUUUCUUAUUAGGAAGUAUUUUUGUCUAAAAGGAUGGUUUCCAUUUAAUCACAAUUUGUUGAGGAUACCAGUGUGUGAAAUUAGUGAAGUACUAGUGCCUUAACUUCAAACAUUUGUCUUCAGAAAUUUCCCCUGUUUGAAAAUUGGUAGAACAGAGUUCUUCAACAUUUUACUUUACUUAUAGUCUCAUAUUUAGGCAUUUAUACAAUGAUAAUCGUGUCUUCAGUAAAAAUCUUGUACAGAUAUAUUGUUAUAUUUAUUUAUAAUUUAUGUUUUCAUAUUCUGUUUAAAUUCUCCUGAUUCUUUAAAAGAUCUCAAGCUCAGAAAAUAUAUCCCCUGGAUCUCUGCAGUUUCUCUGACAUACACAAGAUGUAAUCCACAGCAUCCUCCAUUUAAAUGACCCUUCAUUUGGGCAAUCAAAUUGAACGUGUUAUUACUGUAGGAUCUUGCAAUUGCAGACAGAACUGAGGGACAGGAAGCAGAAACAUGAAGAUACCUGGAAGGUAGACAACAGUUAUAAGACCUCAACACAGGAAGCAGAUUAAAAGCCUGGCACACAUCUGCAAUAAAUAAAGAUACUCAGAAUGUCCCUGCCUGAGGCAGCCACUGAGAGGGCACACCCAAACUGAGUCGCACACUGACCACCAAUCAGGAAAGAGUUGCCCUGAGUUAACAUUUGUUGCCAAUCUUCCUCUUUUUUAUUCCCCCCUCCUCUCCAAAGCCCCAAUGGUUGUAUAUCCUUGUUGUAAGUCCUUCUAGUUCUUCUAUUUGAGCCCCUGCCACAGCAUGGCUACUGAUAGACAAGUGGUGUGGUUCCGCGACUGGGAAAUAAACCCAGGUGGCCAAAGCAGUGAGAGCACCAAACUUUAACCACUAGACCAUCAGGGCUGGCUCAAAAUGCAUGUCUUUUUAAUAUUCUGUGUCACAAAAUAGGAAGUAUACAUUGAGCAUUUCUGUGAACCAAAGCACAACAGUUAUCUGGAGGAAAAUCGCCUAUGCUAUUGUUUGAGUUGUGGGCUGAACUAGCCACUUUUUUAGUGGGAAUUUCACCUGAAAGAAUGACUGACGAAUAAACCGUGGUUAUUCAGACUUGAGUAUUUGGUAGACAUUUUCUCGAAAAUGAACAAUGUGAGCUUGUCACUUUAAGAAAAACAGCUGACAGUAUUUGUUGCCAAUGAUAGAAUUCAAGCUUUCGAGCAAAAAUUAGAAUUUUGGAAAACUGUAUCUACCACUGAGAUCUUUAUAGCUACCCAAUAUGUAGACUUUUCUGAUGAGAUUGGUAUUAGUGUGAUUUUUUUAAUAUUACAUAAUUGUGUAUCAACAUUUGAAACAUCUAUAUAACCCAUUUUUUCAAACUGUUAUUUUCCAAAUAACCAAUGGAUGGUAUUACAAAAUUAUGCAUGAGUAGAAGACAUAUUCCAAGUGGGUCUUGGAUAGAUAAGUGUGUUUUAAUGUCACAGUUGGACAAGUUCAUUGAUGUAGUUUCAGAUUCCAUGAUGCAGCUAUUUUUAAGAAACUACCACUUCUCAAGUUUUAAUAUAAUAUCAAAAAAAGAAUAUUCACAAUUAUCUGAAAAGCCUGUUAAAACAUUCCUUCCUCUUCCAACUAUGUAUCUGUGUGAGGCUGGAUUUCCUUCAGAUAUUUCAACCAAAACAACAUGAUUGAAAGCAGAAGGAGAUGUGAGAAUCUAGCUAUCUUCUGUUAAGAUAGACAUUAGAGAGAUCUGCAGAAAUGUAAAAUAAUUCCACUCUUCUCACUAAAUUUUCCUUUGUUUUAGAAAAUGAGAUUUUUUUCGUAAAAACAUAUUAUUCCUAUUAAUUUACAAUGGGUUUGUUGUUAUUUUUAAAUGAAUUACCAAAUAUUUUAAAAUUUCUAAUCCACUAAAUAUCUUAGAGAUAACCCACAUAAACAAAAGGUCUUUAGGUCCUCACUAAUUUCUAAGACUAAAGGGGUCCUCAGACCAAAAAGCUUAAAAAACUGUUGUUCUAGAUCAAGAAUCAGCAAAUUUUCUGUAAAGAGCCAAACAGUAAAUAUCUUAGCCUUUACAAGCCAUAGUAUAUAGUACAGUCUCUGUGGAAACUACUGGACUCUGCUAUUGUAAUGCACCCAUAGACUAUAUGUAACUGAAUGGGCAUGGCUGUGUUCCAAUAGAACUGUAUUUACAGAAACAAGCUGUGGAUCAGAUUUGACCCCUGGGCUAUAUAGUUUGUGACCCCAGGUAUAGAUUAUUCCCCACCCCCAUCCUCAUAGCUAUGCUCUCUUAAAAUACUCAUCACUUUGUAUGUGAAAUUACUCGUGGAGAGAUCUGUCUGACACAAGAAACUGACUCUGUGAGGGGAGGGUCUGUAUCUUUUUCUUUC